Balaenoptera musculus (blue whale) is the source of this 192-nucleotide small nuclear RNA. Its record names the gene U2. It matches the Rfam family "U2 spliceosomal RNA". From Rfam's summary of the family: U2 is a small nuclear RNA (snRNA) component of the spliceosome (involved in pre-mRNA splicing). Complementary binding between U2 snRNA (in an area lying towards the 5' end but 3' to hairpin I) and the branchpoint sequence (BPS) of the intron results the bulging out of an unpaired adenosine, on the BPS, which initiates a nucleophilic attack at the intronic 5' splice site, thus starting the first of two transesterification reactions that mediate splicing. The record is from Ensembl. NCBI's taxonomy places the organism in Eukaryota, Metazoa, Chordata, Mammalia, Artiodactyla, Balaenopteridae.
AUCGCUUCUCGGCCUUUUGGCUAAGAUCAAGUGUAGUAUCUGUUCUUAUCAGUUUAAUAUCUGAUACGUUCUCUUUCUGAGAACAACAUAUUAAACAGAUUUUUUGGAGCAGGAAGUUGGAGUAGGAGCUUGCUCCAUCCACUUCACACAUUGAUCUGGUAUUGCAGUAUCUCCAGGACUGGUGCACUCCUC